AGUGAACGCUGGCGGUAGGCCUAACACAUGCAAGUCGAACGGCAGCACAGUAAGAGCUUGCUCUUACGGGUGGCGAGUGGCGGACGGGUGAGGAAUACAUCGGAAUCUACUUUUUCGUGGGGGAUAACGUAGGGAAACUUACGCUAAUACCGCAUACGACCUACGGGUGAAAGCAGGGGAUCUUCGGACCUUGCGCGAUUGAAUGAGCCGAUGUCGGACUAGCUAGUUGGCGGGGUAAAGGCCCACCAAGGCGACGAUCCGUAGCUGGUCUGAGAGGAUGAUCAGCCACACUGGAACUGAGACACGGUCCAGACUCCUACGGGAGGCAGCAGUGGGGAAUAUUGGACAAAGGGCGCAAGCCUGAUCCAGCCAUACCGCGUGGGUGAAGAAGGCCUUCGGGUUGUAAAGCCCUUUUGUUGGGAAAGAAAAGCAGCAGGUUAAUACCCCGCUGUUCUGACGGUACCCAAAGAAUAAGCACCGGCUAACUUCGUG
Molecule: ribosomal RNA, 492 nt
Filed under: uncultured bacterium
Lineage: Bacteria
Description: partial 16S ribosomal RNA
Rfam family: Bacterial small subunit ribosomal RNA
Source: RNAcentral